GCCUGAAAACAACCGAGCCUGAAAACAACCGAGCCUGAAAACAACCGAGCCUGAAAACACCGUGCCUGAAAACAACCCAUCCUGAAAACCCCGACCCUGAACACAACCGACCCUGAAAACAACCGACCCUGAAAUUCCAAGCCUGAUAGAAGGAUAAAACUGGAAUGAGAACUCCCUUUUCAAAUCCCAGAACACCCUGUUCAAAAUUAUGCCAGAACACCCUGUUCAAAUGCCAGAACUCCAUUUUCAAAUGCCAGAACUCCAUUUUCAAAUGCCAGAACUCCA
Molecule: non-coding RNA, 285 nt
Organism: Paramuricea clavata
Lineage: Eukaryota; Metazoa; Cnidaria; Anthozoa; Malacalcyonacea; Plexauridae
Source: the annotation of a GenBank genome assembly